Molecule: transfer-messenger RNA, 602 nt
Filed under: Rickettsia endosymbiont of Diachasma alloeum
Lineage: Bacteria; Pseudomonadati; Pseudomonadota; Alphaproteobacteria; Rickettsiales; Rickettsiaceae
Rfam family: Alphaproteobacteria transfer-messenger RNA
About the family: Bacterial tmRNA, also known as 10Sa RNA or SsrA, is named for its dual tRNA and mRNA-like properties. Its role is to liberate the mRNA from a stalled ribosome. To accomplish this part of the tmRNA is used as a reading frame that ends in a translation stop signal.
Source: RNAcentral
AACCUUUACAAAUUAAUCAAAUUAAGCGAUAAUAGUAAGUGCUAAUAUAGCUAUAGUAAUAAACGUAAUUUAGAAUAGAGGUUGCGGACUCGGGGGCAGUACCCGACGCCUCCACCAAAACUUCCUAAAUAACUUGCUCCUAAAGGUAAUUUGUACGUCGAUCCGGUACUCGAAUCCUCACGUACUAUAUGUACACUACGGUUCGCAGUGAAGUGUCUCCUUCAAAUUCCUCUUUAUUAGCUGCGUUAUUUAGAAAAGUUUUAUAGCCUUAAAUGCUAAUACUGCUUGUAUUUUAAAAAUUGAAUUUUAUUUUAAUGGGUGUGUGGGCGGAGCGUAUACUUAAUACGUGAGCAUCACGAAUCCCUGAUAAAAUGAAAGAGCAAUUUUUAAAAGAUAAGUAGUAUUUUGAGGGGGCGAAAUAGGAUCGACGUGCCUAAUAAAAAAAUUGCUUUUACUCGGGAUGAUUCCGCCGCAGGCUUUUGCCUUACGGGUCAAAACAAAGAAACGCAAACGAUAACUAUCGUUCUGUAGGUGGUUCAGCUUUAGCUGUAGCUUAGUCCUACGCGGCUUGGGGGUUUGCCGGGCAACAGAAAAACCCUCAA